GUGCCAGCAGCCGCGGUAAUACGUAGGGUGCGAGCGUUAAUCGGAAUUACUGGGCGUAAAGCGUGCGCAGGCGGUUCGUUGUGUCCGAUGUGAAAGCCCCGGGCUUAACCUGGGAACGGCAUUGGAAACUGGCGGGCUGGAGUGCGGCAGAGGGGGGUGGAAUUCCGCGUGUAGCAGUGAAAUGCGUAGAGAUGCGGAGGAACACCGAUGGCGAAGGCAGCCCCCUGGGCCGACACUGACGCUCAGGCACGAAAGCGUGGGGAGCAAACAGGAUUAGAAACCCCAGUAGUCC
Molecule: ribosomal RNA, 292 nt
Filed under: uncultured bacterium
Lineage: Bacteria
Description: partial 16S ribosomal RNA
Rfam family: Bacterial small subunit ribosomal RNA
Source: RNAcentral